RNAcentral lists this ribosomal RNA (504 nucleotides) under uncultured bacterium. Its description in RNAcentral is "partial 16S ribosomal RNA". It matches the Rfam family "Bacterial small subunit ribosomal RNA", at positions 28 to 507 of the family's 1533-position model. The record is from RNAcentral.
GACGAACGCUGGCGGCGUGCUUAACACAUGCAAGUCGAACGGUGAAGCGCUUGCCUUUUUGGUGGGUGUGGAUGAGUGGCGAACGGGUGAGUAACACGUGAGUAACCUGCCCUCUUCUUCUGGAUAACCUCAUGAAAGUGGGGCUAAUACGGGGUAUUCCGGGUCUGUCGCAUGGCGGGUUUGGGAAAGAUUGCGCCUUUGGGUGUUUUCGGUGGGGGAUGGGCUCGCGGCCUAUCAGCUUGUUGGUGGGGUGAUGGCCUACCAAGGCGGUGACGGGUAGCCGGCCUGAGAGGGUGGACGGCCACACUGGGACUGAGACACGGCCCAGACUCCUGCGGGAGGCAGCAGUGGGGAAUAUUGCACAAUGGGCGCAAGCCUGAGGCAGCGACGCCGCGUGAGGGAUGGAGGCCGUCGGGUUGUGAACCUCUUUCGCCAGUGAAGCAGGCCUGCUCCUGUGUGGGUGGGUUGACGGUAGCUGGAUAAGAAGCGCCGGCUAACUACGUG